This is a long non-coding RNA of Gymnodraco acuticeps, 455 nucleotides long. RefSeq lists it as uncharacterized. The transcript is spliced from 4 exons. Lineage: Eukaryota; Metazoa; Chordata; Actinopteri; Perciformes; Bathydraconidae. The record is from RefSeq and is a predicted model, not a curated record.
GAGAAGGAGAGUGUCGAAUGAGCGCUAUGCUUGUGGAUUGUCUUUUUAUAUGGGGACUGACAGUUUUAUAUCAAAGCCCCCCAUGCUAGAAAAUGACGGAUCUUUGAAGUAAUGUUGAGUUUUGAAAAAGUAAUCCUUAACUAUAGACUAUCUUUUGAUGGGAUUACACCAGCCCAUGGCCCUUUUAUCAAAGUCACACCCCCACACUGCCUUUGCCCUUGCUUAGACAACUCUCAUAUCCAAACUUGGGCUUUAUUUUGAUCACGACGACACACCUGUAAAGUUAUGUGACAGCGACAAUAAGAGAAGGAUGGGGCUUGACACAGCUGAGGAGGAAUCGUUUGUGGGAGGCCCAGGAGACACUGCGACCAAGGUGGAAUCAUCGAUGUGUCACACUACAUGCACAGGGAAGAGCGGAGAGGAACCAACCAACCACGAUAUGGGCCCAGCACAUC